This 66-nucleotide transfer RNA is filed under the name Pinctada margaritifera. RNAcentral's name for it is "tRNA-Cys". Lineage: Eukaryota; Metazoa; Mollusca; Bivalvia; Pterioida; Pteriidae. The record is from RNAcentral.
AGUUAUAUAGUUUAAAAAAAUGAAAACAUCGAAUUGCAAGUUCGAAGAUGCUAGGGGCUAUGACUU